Molecule: ribosomal RNA, 439 nt
Filed under: uncultured bacterium
Lineage: Bacteria
Description: bacterial SSU rRNA
Rfam family: Bacterial small subunit ribosomal RNA
Source: RNAcentral
ACGCGUGGAACCUUACCAGGUCUUGACAUCCCAUUGACCGCUAUGGAGACAUAGCUUUCCCUUCGGGGACAGUGGUGACAGGUGGUGCAUGGUUGUCGUCAGCUCGUGUCGUGAGAUGUUGGGUUAAGUCCCGCAACGAGCGCAACCCUUGUUCUUAGUUGCCAUCAUUUAGUUGGGCACUCUAAGGAGACUGCCGGUGACAAACCGGAGGAAGGUGGGGAUGACGUCAAAUCAUCAUGCCCCUUAUGACCUGGGCUACACACGUGCUACAAUGGAUGGUACAAACGGUUGCCAACCCGCGAGGGGGAGCUAAUCCGAUAAAACCGUUCUCAGUUCGGAUUGUAGGCUGCAACUCGCCUACAUGAAGCCGGAAUCGCUAGUAAUCGCGGAUCAGCAUGCCGCGGUGAAUACGUUCCCGGGCCUUGCACUCACCGCCCGU